GACGAACGCUGGCGGCGUGCUUAACACAUGCAAGUCGAACGGAAAGGCCCUGCUUUUGUGGGGUGCUCGAGUGGCGAACGGGUGAGUAACACGUGAGUAACCUGCCCUUGACUUUGGGAUAACUUCAGGAAACUGGGGCUAAUACCGGAUAGGAGCUCCUGCUGCAUGGUGGGGGUUGGAAAGUUUCGGCGGUUGGGGAUGGACUCGCGGCUUAUCAGCUUGUUGGUGGGGUAGUGGCUGACCAAGGCAUUGACGGGUAGCCGGCCUGGGAGGGUGACCGGCCACAUUGGGACUGAGGUACGGCCCAGACGCCUACGGGAGGCAGCAGUGGGGAAUAUUGCACAAUGGGCGGAAGCCUGAUGCAGCGACGCCGCGUGCGGGAUGACGGCCUUCGGGGUGUAAACCGCUUUCGCCUGUGACGAAGCGGGAGUGACGGUAAUGGGUAAAGAAGCACCGGCUAACUACGUG
Molecule: ribosomal RNA, 468 nt
Filed under: uncultured bacterium
Lineage: Bacteria
Description: partial 16S ribosomal RNA
Rfam family: Bacterial small subunit ribosomal RNA
Source: RNAcentral